Long non-coding RNA from Papaver somniferum (opium poppy), 776 nucleotides. RefSeq lists it as uncharacterized. The record is from RefSeq and is a predicted model, not a curated record. The transcript has 3 exons. NCBI's taxonomy places the organism in Eukaryota, Viridiplantae, Streptophyta, Magnoliopsida, Ranunculales, Papaveraceae.
UUGAGACGAGAGGGACAUUUAUGUAAAUAGAGUCAAACCUUGAAGCAAGAUCUUAGUACAGCAUCUUGUUUGCCAUUGUAGACAGUAGAGGUUGGAGACUGGAGAAAGCACAGAGAUGAGAGAGAAACAAGAAAAAGAGACCUCCUCCUCAUCAAUCAAUCCAUCCAUCAAAAAUAUUAUUAUUAAUAUAUUUUUUAGUCGUCAAUGAAAAAGUACUCUAGAGAUAAAAAAACCAUUCACCCUCCUGCCUUUUGUUCUCUGAGAGUUGUAUUUAUUUGCUUUGAGAGUGUGAAGAUAGAUUGAGCAUUUUUAGACAGUCGAGAGAUACUGAACGAGUAUUUCUAUCUCAUGGUGAAGUGGUAGUGGAGAAGUUGCAGCGUUUUAAUGGUAAUUAUUUGAAAGGAAAGACUUAUUCUGGAAAUUAGGGUUUUAAAGUUGGAAAUCAACAUCAGUAACAUUCCAACCUUAAGGAUUUCCAUAAUUAGAUACAUACAUACGAUUUGAAAAUUUAAAGUUGAAGAACUCUUAGGAGACGAGGUAAUGCUUGCUGCCAAAUAGUAAUUUGAUAUGAUUACAGGGUCAUCCUUCUUCUCCCCUUUAGUGGCAGUCAUUAUUGCUCUUUGAUCAGGGAGGUAGAUAUGAUUUUAUGUGUUUUAAUGAUUAGGGUUCACUUGAGGUUUAUAUUUCCUGCCAAGUUAAUCUCUAAAUCUAUGGGAUCAGAUGAAUCUCUAAAAUUUAGUUUUGGGACCAGUUGAAUCUAAUGAUUGUAUAGUAGA